Molecule: ribosomal RNA, 32 nt
Filed under: Porlieria chilensis
Lineage: Eukaryota; Viridiplantae; Streptophyta; Magnoliopsida; Zygophyllales; Zygophyllaceae
Also listed under: 1 other name
Description: partial 25S ribosomal RNA
Source: RNAcentral
CGACCCCAGGUCAGGCGGGAUCACCCGCUGAG